Molecule: long non-coding RNA, 446 nt
Organism: Oreochromis niloticus (Nile tilapia)
Lineage: Eukaryota; Metazoa; Chordata; Actinopteri; Cichliformes; Cichlidae
Exons: 3
Source: RefSeq, a predicted model, not a curated record
CUCCUGUCUGUUUAUAGUCUGUGAGUUUUCAUUCAUUCUUUCUCAGGACGUCUGUUAUGUUAACGCCAUGUUUCCAAGGUUUCACACUUCCAGGGGAGGAAGUGGAGCAGUGCAUUCAGGGUGUGGUGUCAGGUGAGGCUGGCUCACACACCUGACCCCCAUCAUCUGACCAUGAGUAUGUCGCCGGGACCUGAAGAGAGAACUGCGUGUGGUGUGAAGCCGAAGGAGGGCAGCUUGAAAGCUCCUACUCGUGCAACCCACCUCCUUCCCAUCUCCACCAGUCAGUCAGACCUCAGUCUUCAUCUUCACCCACACCAGCAUCUAGACUCCAGGGGGUCAGGUCCUAAAUCCUAUCACUGCUGAGAUUCCAUCAUGCCAUGAUGGUCAUAGGAGUCUACUCACCAGAUACAUUAAUUUCUCCUUCUCAAUAAAUCAAAUUCAUACAA